Molecule: microRNA, 20 nt
Filed under: Ciona intestinalis (vase tunicate)
Lineage: Eukaryota; Metazoa; Chordata; Ascidiacea; Phlebobranchia; Cionidae
Description: cin-miR-4009a-3p
Source: miRBase by way of RNAcentral
UAUUGCACAUGUUGUACCAA